CAAAUCAGGUAGGACUACCCGCUGAACUUAAGCAUAUCAAUAA
Molecule: ribosomal RNA, 43 nt
Filed under: Hypholoma sublateritium
Lineage: Eukaryota; Fungi; Basidiomycota; Agaricomycetes; Agaricales; Strophariaceae
Also listed under: 6 other names
Description: partial 28S ribosomal RNA
Source: RNAcentral